AGCGUAGACGGUGUGGCAAUCUGAUGUGAAAGGCAUGGGCUCAACCUGUGGACUGCAUUGGAAACUGUCAUACUUGAGUGCCGGAGGGGUAAGCGGAAUUCCUAGUGUAGCGGUGAAAUGCGUAGAUAUUAGGAGGAACACCAGUGGCGAAGGCGGCUUACUGGACGGUAACUGACGUUGAGGCUCGAAAGCGUGGGAGCAAACA
RNAcentral lists this ribosomal RNA (205 nucleotides) under uncultured bacterium. RNAcentral's name for it is "partial 16S ribosomal RNA". It matches the Rfam family "Bacterial small subunit ribosomal RNA", at positions 568 to 774 of the family's 1533-position model. The record is from RNAcentral.